Molecule: non-coding RNA, 321 nt
Organism: Manis javanica (Malayan pangolin)
Lineage: Eukaryota; Metazoa; Chordata; Mammalia; Pholidota; Manidae
Source: RefSeq, a predicted model, not a curated record
GCCUCUCAAAUUCAAGGCAAGACACCUUAUCUAUCAGGUGUAGAAUUUUUUGAGAUGAAAGUAGCAGUGUGUGAAGAAGAGGAGGUUAGUAGAAAACUGUUUAUCAGAACUCUGUGAGACGGUACUCAUAGGAGGACUUCCCUGUCCAUUGCUUCAUCUGUCUGCCCAGCCUCUGGAGUUGAAAUCCGGUCUAGAAAUUGGGGAUUUGGCACAUUAUAUUUCAUAUUUGUUCACCCGGCGAGGAAUGUUGGAGAAGAAUUACAGUGCCCCAUGAGCAGUAGAGAGGCACCUCCGGAUUGCCAGUCUAGUCCUGAACAUCGG